Molecule: ribosomal RNA, 274 nt
Filed under: uncultured bacterium
Lineage: Bacteria
Description: partial 16S ribosomal RNA
Rfam family: Bacterial small subunit ribosomal RNA
Source: RNAcentral
AUACGGAGGGGGUUAGCGUUGUUCGGAAUUACUGGGCGUAAAGCGCACGUAGGCGGACUGGAAAGUUGGGGGUGAAAUCCCGGGGCUCAACCCCGGAACUGCCUCCAAAACUUCCAAUCUAGAGAUCGAGAGAGGUGAGUGGAAUUCCAAGUGUAGAGGUGAAAUUCAUAGAUAUUUGGAGGAACACCGGUGGCGAAGGCGGCUCACUGGCUCGAUACUGACGCUGAGGUGCGAAAGCGUGGGGAGCGAACAGGAUUAGAAACCCCAGUAGUCC